CCCAGCCCAAGAAGCGACCCAACCCGUUCCCAAAUAUCUGAUGCAAAGGGAUGAGCAAAGCCCUAAUCUCACCACUGACCCAUGCACUGUUCUUCUUCUCCAAAGAAGAACAUGAACCAAGCCUCAAUUUAGCCUAAAUCCAAGCGAGUGAGUCUCAAAUCUCUCCUCACGCAUUCCUCCUUUUCUACUCAUCACCAUUUCUAACCGUUUCUGACACGGAUAUUCUCAUUCACUUCACUCGCUCGAUUUGGAGAUAAGGCACGCGAUUGGAAGCUUCUAGGAACGAUUUACUGGAUGAGUGUGAGGUGUUGGAUUGAUUUCACUCAAUCCAAGCCCCACAUUCAUUAGGAAUUCGUUCUCAAAAUGGAAUUUUAGAUGCAUUUCUGAGGGAGGUCAGCUAAAAAAAUAUUUCAGAGAAAAGGGGUCGAUUCUAAUCUUCCUUGUUUCUUUUCAUCGAAAAUACAGAAAAUACUCCCAAAAAGUGGGUCUAGUUUCUUUUAUGCUUAAUUCUGUCUGUUUUUGUUAUAAUGAGAGAAAAAAAUACAAAAAAUUCGAUUUCUUUGCAUAUCAUCUCUGGUUUAAUCUCGCUUCUGAUGGAGUUCGUUUAAUAUGGAGUUCGAUUGAAAAUAGUUAAGUUCGUCGCUGUCCGAGCUUCUGAUUCUUACUCAUCUCUACUGUUGGUUGUUGAUAUUUGUUAUUGGAUUUCACUUGUAUUCAACAUUUGAGCAAAGUUAAUUUCAGGUGCUUGUGGAUCCAAGUUCAUUUCUAAUCCUAUGUAGCCUAUUUUUGGUGUUUGAUUAAGAAGCGCAUUGAGAAUUUGAGUUCAGCUGGUUUGGAACUAUGUGAAUCUUGGUGACUGUUGGUCGUAGUGUAUUUGUUGGUCAUUUUUACGGGUAUUUCUAGCUUGGUUUGGCUGUGUACAUCUUAAAUGAGUUCUCUGAAAGUGUCUUCUAUUUGAUUCCUGUCAUGGUAUAAUUAGCUUGUGAUUAAUUUCAGAAUGUGAGCUAUUUUCAGUUUUGCUUCUUAGCUAUGUAUUGAUUGGAUGCUCCACGCAUGAUCUGGUCUUCAUCUAACACAAUGAUGGAUGGCGGAAUUGUUUGACUUUGGUUGGAAUGAUGGAAGAUUGAUUGAGCCUAUGGUUGUUAGAUAAGGUGUUGCAUAUGUUUGUCGAUUGGUGACGAUUGCAAAAUUUCUUGUACAUAUCUAGUUCGAUACGAGUUCAAGAAAUUGUCACCCAAUUAGUUUUGUUUGCUGCUGCUAUGGCUCGAUCAGUUGCACUUAUCAGGACAUGUUAAAAAUGGCAAAGUCUAGUGAUUUAUGUUUGUUAUGAAGGAUCAUCUAAUGUAGACCUCACUUGUUCAAGUGAUGAGCUGAUUUGGGCGGGUUUGACGUUGUUUGGCCUUGAUUUAAAGGCGUGUUGAGGCCGAAUUGUUUCGAUGAUUGUGUAUGCUCAUAGUUUCUCUAUUUUCCCUUUUUUGUCCAUGUUUUGUCUGUCUUGUUACUGCCAUUGUAAUUUUGCUCGUUCGAGUUGCUGAAGAACUCAAUUUCAGCAGUAGAUCGAGCUGAUACGGGUAGUAUAUUGGAACAUUUGUUUGAACUGUUAGACUGUGUACUCAGAUUUUAAGUAUUCUAGACUGUAUUGUUCCAAUUCGAUCAUUAUUAGUUGCGCAUUCCUUUCUUCUGAAGAUGCUAGAGUAUUCACCGUUGGCCAACAUAUGUUUGUGGUUUAGAUGAUUGCUGUAGGAGAUUUUAAUGCUAUGAAGUCUGUGUACAUUCAUUUUAAUACCUUGUCAAAGGGGAUUGUGGACCAUGAUCGUGUCAUCUGUUAGAAUUAGCCAUUGGUUCAGUUAGGAUAAGAAAACCACUCCAAGUUCAUGAUAGUUUCAGCUUGACUGAGCUACUGAUG
This 1906-nucleotide long non-coding RNA is filed under the name Nicotiana benthamiana. Its description in RNAcentral is "long non-coding RNA (NBEN_LNC012392)". The stretch from base 286 to 356 matches the Rfam family "MIR6151 microRNA precursor family". The record is from RNAcentral. Lineage: Eukaryota; Viridiplantae; Streptophyta; Magnoliopsida; Solanales; Solanaceae.